GUAAGAUUGGGGAAGAUGCCAGGUGAUAGAAUCCACCCUGCCUCUGACAGCAUCCAAUCUGGAGCAAAGGCUUCUUUCAACCCUCCGCCAAGCUCCCAAUACAAGCCCAAAUUCUGGAACAAGUCUUUUCCAACACCUCCUUCAGAGAAACUCCCUGGCUCCAGGCAGGGCUUGCUCCCCUCACUGCAGCAGGAAGCCCAGCUUGCGAACUGCAGGUGUGCUCCAGGUGGUCACUGGAUGCAGGGUAUUGACAGAUGGAUCCCAUCGAUACCCCCACUGCAUAACCAUAGUGCAGUGAAUAGAAGACACUUCUCUGCACCCCAAAAGCUCCAUGCUGAUUGCGAGAAGGAAAUGCUGGAUGGAGGGGUUCCUGGAACUACUGUGAGGGUUUCUUUUGAUUUCUCCUGCUUAGAAAUGGUGAGAGAACUUUGGAUGUGGAAUGUGGAGUAGGAGGAACACGAAGUGGGGAUCUGCACUUGGGGUGGUCAGCACUGCGGAUGCCCAGCAAAGGCACUGCCUGGUCCACAUCCCGGAGUGGUCUCUGCGCCCGAGUCGACAUCGCAGCUGAUGGUGAAACUUUUGGUGUGGCAGAAGAGUGUCCACAAACUUUGGAAGAUCGCUGCUCAGAGUGAUGAAUGGCGUUGUAUUUUGAAUAAAAUAUCUAAGCAUCCUUUUGUGAGCAAGGAGCAUGAUGGUUGGUACUUAGACCUACCAUUUCUCGUUACAGUGGUUAUGGUUACAGUGGGGCUGGGGUGUUUACCUGGAGCCUGGACGUCCACUGGGACAUGAUACCCACUGGGAUUUUUUUGUGUCAACCUGGUCUAUGAUGUCCACCUGGGGACUGGGUAUCCACCUAAGGCCUGAUGUUUACCUGGAGCCAGAUGUGCACCUGAGGCCUGCUGUCUAUCUGUGGCUUAUGUUCACCUGGGGACCGAUGCACACCUGAAGCAUAGGUAUUCACCUGGGGCCUGAUAUCCACCUGUAGUAUGGGUGUCAACCUUGGGGCUGAUGUUCAGCUGGCGUCCACUGUCUACCUGGGGCCUGGUGUACACAUGGGGCCUGGGCAUCCACCUGAGACUUGAUGUUUAAUAUGGUCUGGAGUUUUCUUGGGGCCUGUUUCCCCCUGGAGCCUGGGUGUACAUAUGGAGCCUGAUGUCCCAGGUGGACACCUGGGUCCCAGGUGAUCUUCAGGCCCUAGGUGAAAACUCCAGGCUCUAAGUGGACAACCAGGCCCCAGGCUGAUGUUUACUGGGGCCAGAUGUCUACCAGGCCCCAGGUGAAAACUCCAGGCUCCAAGUGGACAACAUGGCUCCAGGUUCCAGGUAGACACUGGAAUCCAAAUCAACACCAGGCCCCAGAUGGACACCCAGGCCUGUGGUGGACAUCAGACUUCAGAAGGUCAUCUGGCUCGAGGUGGACAUCAAGCCCCAGGUGGAUACCUAGUCCCCAGGUGGAUAUCAGGUCCCACUUUGACACCAGUCCCUGGGUAGAUACCUAGGCCUCAGGUGGAUAUCCAGUCUCUAGCUAAGCAUCAGGCUCCAGGGGGACCCAGGCCCCAGCUGACUGGGGACUAGUGUUCAUAUGGGGCUACAUGUCCAUCUGGGCCCUAGGUGUCAACUUGUAGCCUGAUGUCAACCUGGGAGCUGGUGUUCACCAGAGGACUAAAGUCCUCCUGGUGGCGGAUGUCCAACUUGGGACUUUGUGUCCACCUGGAGACUGAUGUCCACUUGGGACCAGAUGUCCAACUGGAGCAAGAUGUCCACCUGUAGCCUAGAACUUCACCUAAGGCCUGAUGUUCCCCAGGGCCUACAGGGCUUGUGUAUCUACCUAGGGACUUGUGUCCAGGUGGGGCCUGAGUUCCAUCUGGGGCCUGGAAUUAACCUGGGACCUGAUGUCCACCUGAGGCCUGGGUGUUCCUCUGGAGUCUGAUAUCUAUCUGGGGCCUAGGUGUCCUCCUAUGGUCUGAUGUCCACUUGUAGGCUGGUGUCCACCUGGGGCCUGGGUGUCCACCUAGGAACCUGAUGUAAACCUGAAGUCCAGUAUCUACCUGGGUACUGAUGUCUACCAGGAAAGUGAUAUAAACCUGGGGCCUGAUAGCCACCUGGGCCCUGAGUGUCCACAUAUGUUCUGAUUUCUGCUUUUGGCCUGAGUGUAGGGCCUGAGUGCCACCUGGGUCCUGAUGUUCACCAGGAACCUAGGUAUUCACUUGGGGCUUGAUGUUCACCUGGGACCUAAUGUCCACGUGAGACCUGGUAUUCAGCUAGAGCCUGGGCAUCCACCUGUGGCCUGAUGUUCAGUUGGCGACUGGGAAUUCCACUAAGGCUUGAUGUCCACCUGGGGACUUGUGGCCUAGUGUUGCCCUGAAGCCUAGGUGUCAACCCAGGGCAUAAUGUCUUCUUGGGGCCUGCUGUCCACCUGCAGACUGGUGUCUGCAUAGGGCCUGGUAUCCACCUGGGGUCUGGCGUCUGCGUGGGGCCUAGUGUCCACCCGAAGACUGAGUAUAGACCUCAGACCUGAUGUAUGCCUGGGGCCUAUUUAUCCACCUGGGGGCUAGCAUUCAUCUGGGGCCUCAUGUCCACUUAAGCCCUGGGUGUCAACCUGGUGCCUAAUGGCCACCAGGGAUCUAUGUACUCACUUGGGGCCUGGUGCUCCCACAGGGCCUAGGUAUACACCUGGGGAAUGAUGUGCAGGUGGAGGUGGAUGUCUUCCUGGGUGCUGGUGUUCACCUGGGGACAAGGGUCUCCUUGGGGACCGGUGUUUAUCGGGAGCCUCAUAUGCACCUUGAACCUGCUGUCUACCUAGGGCCUGAUGUCCAUGUUAAGGCUGGGUGUCCACCUGGGACCUGGUUGUCCACUUGGGGCCUAAUGUCCACCUAAAACCUGGUGUUCACCUAGGGCCUGGGUGUCCACCUGGAGCCUGAUGUUCAGCUGGAGAUGCAUCCACCCGAGACCUAGGUACCACCCAGGGUCUGGUGUCGAACGGGGGCCUUAUGUCCACCUGGGGACUAGAUAUCUACCCGAGGCUUGAUGUCCACCUGGAGCCCGAUAUCCACCUCAGAGCUGGGUGUCCACCCAGGUUCUGGUAUCCACCCGGAGCCUGGUGUUCAUCUGGGGCCCAGUGCCCACCUGGAACCUGGGUAUCACCAUGGGGCCUGGGUGUCCACUUGGAGCGUGAUGUGCACCUGGGCCUGAGUUUCCACCUAGGGCCUGAUGACCACCUGAGACCCAGGUGUCCACCUGGGGUCUGAUGUCUACCUGAAGCCUAGGUAACCACCUAGGGCAUGGUGUUACCUGUGCCUUGAUUUCCACCUGAGCCUGGUGUACACCUGGGGCCUGGGUGUCCAUCUGAGAUCCGAUGUACACCUCAAGUCCAGUGUCCACUUGUGGCCUGAUGUCAACUUGGAAGCUGAUAUCCACCUGGGGACUGAUGUUCUCCUGGGGCCUGAUAUCCAACUGGGAUCAGAUGUUCACCUAAGGCCUGCAGUUAAUCUGGGGCCUGAUGGUCACCAGGGUCCCAGGUGUCCACCUAGGGCCUAGUGUCCAACUAGGGCCUGAUGUCCACCUGGAGUCUAGUAUCCGCCUUGGCCUUGAUGCUACUUGAGGCCUGGGUGUCUUCCUAGAACCUGAGUCCCCAAUUGGGCCCUGAUGUCCACCUGAGGCCUGGUGUCCUUACAGGGUCUGAUAUCUACCUAAGGCCUGGGUAUCCUCCUGCAGCCUGAUGCUCACCUGUAGGCUGGUGUCCAUAUGGGGCCUGGGUGUCUACCUGUGAGCCUGAUGUACACCUGGAGUCCAGUGUCCCCUUGGUUACUAAUAAGUACCAGGAAAAUGGUAUAUACCUGGGGCCUGAUAUACACCUGGAGCCUGCAUGUCCACUUGAGCCCUGAUGUCCACCUGGGGCCUAUAUUCACCCACUACCCAAAGUCAAGUUGGGAAAAGGGCCCAGAAUAGGUGAGGAG
This 3955-nucleotide long non-coding RNA is filed under the name Pan troglodytes (chimpanzee). RNAcentral describes it as "lincRNA". The record is from RNAcentral. Lineage: Eukaryota; Metazoa; Chordata; Mammalia; Primates; Hominidae.